This 797-nucleotide ribosomal RNA is filed under the name uncultured Glomus. RNAcentral describes it as "SSU rRNA". It matches the Rfam family "Eukaryotic small subunit ribosomal RNA", at positions 314 to 1113 of the family's 1831-position model. Lineage: Eukaryota; Fungi; Glomeromycota; Glomeromycetes; Glomerales; Glomeraceae. The record is from RNAcentral.
AUCAACUUUCGAUGGUAGGAUAGAGGCCUACCAUGGUGGUAACGGGUAACGGGGUGUUAGGGCACGACACCGGGGAGGGAGCCUGAGAAACGGCUACCACAUNCAAGGAUGGCAGCAGGCGCGCAAAUUACCCAAUCCCGACACGGGGAGGUAGAGACAAUAAAUAACAAUACGGGGUUCUUUAGGAUCUCGUAAUUGGAAUGAGUACAAUUUAAAUCUCUUAACGAGGAACAGUUGGAGGGCAAGUCUGGUGCCAGCAGCCGCGGUAAUUCCAGCUCCAAUAGCGUAUAUUAAAGUUGUUGCAGUUAAAAAGCUCGUAGUUGAAUUUCGAGACCGGCUUACUGGUCGUGCUAUUGUACGUACUGGUAUAAUCGGUUUCUCCUUUCUGACGAACUAUAAUGCCAUUAAUUUGGUGUUUUAGGGAAUCAGGACUGUUACUUUGAAAAAAUUAGAGUGUUUAAAGCAGGCUCACGCUUGAAUACAUUAGCAUGGAAUAACGGAAUAGGACGUUUGAUUCUACUUUGUUGGUUUCUAGGAUCGACGUAAUGAUUAAUAGGGAUAGUUGGGGGCAUUAGUAUUCAAUUGUCAGAGGUGAAAUUCUUGGAUUUAUUGAAGACUAACUACUGCGAAAGCAUUUGCCAAGGAUGUUUUCAUUAAUCAAGAACGAAAGUUAGGGGAUCGAAGACGAUCAGAUACCGUCGUAGUCUUAACCAUAAACUAUGCCGACUAGGGAUCGGAUGAUGUUAAUUUUUUAAUGACUCAUUCGGCGCCUUACGGGAAACCAAAGUGUUUGGGUU